Molecule: ribosomal RNA, 269 nt
Filed under: uncultured archaeon
Lineage: Archaea
Description: partial 16S ribosomal RNA
Rfam family: Archaeal small subunit ribosomal RNA
Source: RNAcentral
AGCCCCUCGAGUGGUGGGGACGUUUAUUGGGCCUAAAGCGUCCGUAGCCGGCUCGGUAAGUCCCUCGUUAAAUCCAGCGUCCUAAGCGCUGGGCCGCGAGGGAGACUACAGAGCUAGAGGGUGGGAGAGGUCAGCGGUAUUCCUGGGGUAGGGGCGAUAUCCAUUGAUCCCAGGAGGACCACCAGUGGCGAAGGCUGCUGACUAGAACACGCCUGACGGUCAGGGACGAAAGCUGGGGUAGCGAAUCGGAUUAGAUACCCGAGUAGUCC